Molecule: ribosomal RNA, 255 nt
Filed under: uncultured bacterium
Lineage: Bacteria
Description: partial 16S ribosomal RNA
Rfam family: Bacterial small subunit ribosomal RNA
Source: RNAcentral
GACGAACCGUGCGAACGUUAUUCGGAAUCACUGGGCUUAAAGGGCGCGUAGGCGGGCCAUCAAGUCAGAGGUGAAAGCCCCCGGCUUAACCGGGGAAGUGCCUUUGAUACUGAUGGCCUCGAGGGGGAUAGGGGCGUGGCGGAACUUCCGGUGGAGCGGUGAAAUGCGUAGAUAUACGGAAGGAACACCGGUGGCGAAAGCGGCGCGCUGGAUCCCUUCUGACGCUGAGGCGCGAAAGCCAGGGGAGCGAACGGG